GGCCUAUCAGCUUGUUGGUGGGGUAAUGGCCUACCAAGGCGACGACGGGUAGCCGGCCUGAGAGGGCGACCGGCCACACUGGGACUGAGACACGGCCCAGACUCCUACGGGAGGCAGCAGUGGGGAAUAUUGCACAAUGGGCGAAAGCCUGAUGCAGCGACGCCGCGUGAGGGAUGACGGCCUUCGGGUUGUAAACCUCUUUCAGCAGGGAAGAAGCGCAAGUGACGGUACCUGCAGAAGAAGCGCCGGCUAACUACGUGCCAGCAGCCGCGGUAAUACGUAGGGCGCAAGCGUUGUCCGGAAUUAUUGGGCGUAAAGAGCUCGUAGGCGGCUUGUCACGUCGGAUGUGAAAGCCCGGGGCUUAACCCCGGGUCUGCAUUCGAUACGGGCUAGCUAGAGUGUGGUAGGGGAGAUCGGAAUUCCUGGUGUAGCGGUGAAAUGCGCAGAUAUCAGGAGGAACACCGGUGGCGAAGGCGGAUCUCUGGGCCAUUACUGACGCUGAGGAGCGAAAGCGUGGGGAGCGAACAGGAUUAGAUACCCUGGUAGUCCACGCCGUAAACGUUGGGAACUAGGUGUUGGCGACAUUCCACGUCGUCGGUGCCGCAGCUAACGCAAUUAAGUUCCCCGCCUGGGGAGUACGG
Molecule: ribosomal RNA, 641 nt
Filed under: Streptomyces sp. ENT-11
Lineage: Bacteria; Bacillati; Actinomycetota; Actinomycetes; Kitasatosporales; Streptomycetaceae
Description: bacterial SSU rRNA
Rfam family: Bacterial small subunit ribosomal RNA
Source: RNAcentral